AGGAUGAACGCUGGCGGCGUGCCUAACACAUGCAAGUCGAACGUCCUGUCUCGCAAGAGGCAGGGAGUGGCGGACGGGUGAGUACCACGUGGGUCAUCUACCGUGAGGUGAGGAAUACCGGCGAGAAAUCGCCGACAAGACCGCAUAGGCUCGAUGCAAGUCGAGCAAAGCUCUUUCGAGAGAGGGAGCGCCACACGAGGAGCCUGCGCCCGAUUAGCUAGCUGGUGGAGUAAUGGUUCACCAGGGCGACGAUCGGUAGCUGGUCUGAGAGGACGAUCAGCCACACUGGGAUUGAGAACGGCCCAGACUCCUACGGGGGCAGCAGUGAGGAAUUUCGUCAAUGGGGGCAACCCUGAACGAGCAACGCCGCGUGCAGGAAGAGGUUUUCGGAUCGUAAACUGCUUUCGUCGGGAAGAGAACGGACGGUACCCGAGGAAUCAGCCCCGGCUAACGUACGUGCUAGCAGCCGCGGU
RNAcentral lists this ribosomal RNA (473 nucleotides) under uncultured bacterium. Its description in RNAcentral is "SSU rRNA". It matches the Rfam family "Bacterial small subunit ribosomal RNA", at positions 26 to 521 of the family's 1533-position model. The record is from RNAcentral.